Molecule: ribosomal RNA, 451 nt
Filed under: uncultured bacterium
Lineage: Bacteria
Description: partial 16S ribosomal RNA
Rfam family: Bacterial small subunit ribosomal RNA
Source: RNAcentral
AGCGAACGCUGGCGGCAGGCUUAACACAUGCAAGUCGAGCGGGCACCCUCGGGUGUCAGCGGCGGACGGGUGAGUAACGCGUGGGAACGUGCCUUCUGGUUCGGAAUAACCCUGGGAAACUAGGGCUAAUACCGGAUACGCCCUUUUGGGGAAAGGUUUACUGCCGGAAGAUCGGCCCGCGUCUGAUUAGCUAGUUGGUGGGGUAACGGCCUACCAAGGCGACGAUCAGUAGCUGGUCUGAGAGGAUGAUCAGCCACACUGGGACUGAGACACGGCCCAGACGCCUACGGGAGGCAGCAGUGGGGAAUAUUGGACAAUGGGCGCAAGCCUGAUCCAGCCAUGCCGCGUGAGUGAUGAAGGCCUUAGGGUUGUAAAGCUCUUUUAUCCGGGACGAUAAUGACGGUACCGGAGGAAUAAGCCCCGGCUAACUUCGUGCCAGCAGCCGCGGUAA